Molecule: ribosomal RNA, 353 nt
Filed under: uncultured bacterium
Lineage: Bacteria
Description: partial 16S ribosomal RNA
Rfam family: Bacterial small subunit ribosomal RNA
Source: RNAcentral
CCUACGGGAGGCAGCAGUGAGGAAUAUUGGUCAAUGGCCGAGAGGCUGAACCAGCCAAGUCGCGUGAGGGAAGACGGCCCUACGGGUUGUAAACCUCUUUUGUCGGGGAGCAAAGCGAACCACGUGUGGUUCAUUGAGAGUACCCGAAGAAACAGCAUCGGCUAACUCCGUGCCAGCAGCCGCGGUAAUACGGAGGAUGCGAGCGUUAUCCGGAUUUAUUGGGUUUAAAGGGUGCGCAGGCGGAGGUGCAAGUCAGCGGUCAAAUUGCGGGGCUCAACCCCGUACUGCCGUUGAAACUGCAUCACCUGAGUGCGCGAUAAGUAUGCGGAAGGCGUGGUGUAGCGGUGAAAUGC